AGUGAACGCUUGCGGUAGGCCUAACACAUGCAAGUCGAACGGCAGCACAGUAAGAGCUUGCUCUUACGGGUGGCGAGUGGCGGACGGGUGAGGAAUACAUCGGAAUCUACUUUUUCGUGGGGGAUAACGUAGGGAAACUUACGCUAAUACCGCAUACGACCUACGGGUGAAAGCAGGGGAUCUUCGGACCUUGCGCGAUUGAAUGAGCCGAUGUCGGAUUAGCUAGUUGGCGGGGUAAAGGCCCACCAAGGCGACGAUCCGUAGCUGGUCUGAGAGGAUGAUCAGCCACACUGGAACUGAGACACGGUCCAGACUCCUACGGGAGGCAGCAGUGGGGAAUAUUGGACAAUGGGCGCAAGCCUGAUCCAGCCAUACCGCGUGGGUGAAGAAGGCCUUCGGGUUGUAAAGCCCUUUUGUUGGGAAAGAAAAGCAGCAGGUUAAUACCCCGCUGUUCUGACGGUACCCAAAGAAUAAGCUCCGGCUAACUUCGUG
Molecule: ribosomal RNA, 492 nt
Filed under: uncultured bacterium
Lineage: Bacteria
Description: partial 16S ribosomal RNA
Rfam family: Bacterial small subunit ribosomal RNA
Source: RNAcentral